Molecule: ribosomal RNA, 226 nt
Filed under: uncultured bacterium
Lineage: Bacteria
Description: partial 16S ribosomal RNA
Rfam family: Bacterial small subunit ribosomal RNA
Source: RNAcentral
ACUCCUACGGGAGGCAGCAGUGGGGAAUCUUAGACAAUGGGGAAGCCCAUCGAUCUAGCCAUGCCGCGUGAGCGAUGAAGGCCUUAGGGUUGUAAAGCUCUUUCAGCUAGGGAAGAUUAAUGACGGUGACCAGCAGAAGAAGCCCGCUAACUCCGUGCCAGCAGCCGCGGUAAUACGGAGGGGCGUAGCGUUGUUCGGAAUUACUGGGCGUAAAGCGCACGUAGGC